UUAGGUUAAGUUAUGAAGGGCGCAUGGUGAAUGCCUUGGUACUAGGAGCCGAUGAAGGACGGGACUAACACCGAUAUGCUUCGGGGAGCGGUAAGUACGCUUUGAUCCGGAGAUUUCCAAAUGGGGCAACCCAAUCAGCUUAGUCGCUGAUUACUUGACUAGUGAAUACAUAGCUAGCAAGAGGUAGACGCAGUGAACUGAAACAUCUUAGUAGCUGCAGGAGGAGAAAGAAACAUCGAUUCCCUGAGUAGCGGCGAGCGAAAAGGGAAGAGCCCAAACCAACAAGCUUGCUUGUUGGGGUUGUAGGACUGAACAUUAGAGUUACCAAAGUGCGACGUAGUCGCAACAGUUGGGAAGCUGUGCCAUAGAGGGUGAAAGCCCCGUAGACGAAACGUCACACUCUCUGUUCAGGAUCCUGAGUACGGCGGGACACGUGAAACCCCGUCGGAACCCGCGAGGACCAUCUCGCAAGGCUAAAUACUCCCUAGUGACCGAUAGUGAACCAGUACCGUGAGGGAAAGGUGAAAAGCACCCCGGAAGGGGAGUGAAAUAGUUCCUGAAACCAUGUGCCUACAAGCUGUCGGAGCCCGUUAAUGGGUGACGGCGUGCCUCUUGCAGAAUGAACCGGCGAGUUACGAUUGCAUGCAAGGUUAAGGUGGAAAAACCGGAGCCGUAGCGAAAGCGAGUCUUAAAUGGGCGUAAGAAGUAUGUAGUUGUAGACCCGAAACCAGGUGACCUACCCAUGUCCAGGUUGAAGGU
RNAcentral lists this ribosomal RNA (759 nucleotides) under Limosilactobacillus reuteri. RNAcentral describes it as "bacterial LSU rRNA". It matches the Rfam family "Bacterial large subunit ribosomal RNA", at positions 1 to 752 of the family's 2925-position model. The record is from RNAcentral. Lineage: Bacteria; Bacillati; Bacillota; Bacilli; Lactobacillales; Lactobacillaceae.